This 460-nucleotide ribosomal RNA is filed under the name uncultured bacterium. Its description in RNAcentral is "partial 16S ribosomal RNA". It matches the Rfam family "Bacterial small subunit ribosomal RNA", at positions 338 to 795 of the family's 1533-position model. The record is from RNAcentral.
CCUACGGGGGGCAGCAGUGAGGAAUAUUGGUCAAUGGACGAGAGUCUGAACCAGCCAAGUAGCGUGAAGGAUGACUGCCCUAUGGGUUGUAAACUUCUUUUAUAUGGGAAUAAAAUGUUCCACGUGUGGGAUUUUGUAUGUACCAUAUGAAUAAGGAUCGGCUAACUCCGUGCCAGCAGCCGCGGUAAUACGGAGGAUCCGAGCGUUAUCCGGAUUUAUUGGGUUUAAAGGGAGCGUAGGUGGAUUGUUAAGUCAGUUGUGAAAGUUUGCGGCUCAACCGUAAAAUUGCAGUUGAAACUGGCAGUCUUGAGUACAGUAGAGGUGUGCGGAAUUCGUGGUGUAGCGGUGAAAUGCUUAGAUAGCACGAAGAACUCCGAUUGCGAAGGCAGUUCACUGGACUGCAACUGACACUGAGGCUCGAAAGUGUGGGUAUCAAACAGGAUUAGAUACCCCUGUAGUC